This 491-nucleotide ribosomal RNA is filed under the name Schaalia turicensis. RNAcentral describes it as "partial 16S ribosomal RNA". It matches the Rfam family "Bacterial small subunit ribosomal RNA", at positions 40 to 526 of the family's 1533-position model. The record is from RNAcentral. Lineage: Bacteria; Bacillati; Actinomycetota; Actinomycetes; Actinomycetales; Actinomycetaceae.
CGGCGUGCUUAACACAUGCAAGUCGAACGAUGAUGCUCCAGCUUUGUUGGGGUGGAUUAGUGGCGAACGGGUGAGUAACACGUGAGUAACCUGCCCUCUUCUUUGGGAUAACGGUCGGAAACGGCUGCUAAUACUGGAUAUUCACUCAUUGGCGCAUGUUGGUGGGUGGAAAGGUUUUUCUGGUGGGGGAUGGGCUCGCGGCCUAUCAGCUUGKUGGKGGGGUGAUGGCCUACCAAGGCUUUGACGGGUAACCSGCCUGAGAGGGUGACCSGUCACAUUGGGACUGAGAUACGGCCCARACUCCUACGGGAGGCAGCAGUGGGGAAUUUUGCACAAUGGGCGCAAGCCUGAUGCAGCGACGCCSCGUGAGGGAUGAAGGCCUUCGGGUUGUAAACCUUUUUCGCUCAUGGUCAAGCCSCAGCUUUGGGUUGKGGUGAGGGUAGKGGGUAAAGAAGCCCCCGCUMACUACGUGCCAGCAGCCGCGGUAAUAC